This 762-nucleotide long non-coding RNA is filed under the name Numida meleagris (helmeted guineafowl). RNAcentral describes it as "lncRNA (ENSNMEG00000009527.1)". Lineage: Eukaryota; Metazoa; Chordata; Aves; Galliformes; Numididae. The record is from RNAcentral.
AUGUCGCAUUCCAGAAAACUCAUCUAUCAGAGGUUUAUGAUCAUUAUCAGCAAUAAAGAGCGUGUACAACAAGAGUUGAGUCAAGUUUACACAGUUCUAUUCAGACUGAACAUCGCUUGUUGUGGGCUUCCCUGGAGCUUCAGUGAUAUUAUUCUCUUGUUUUUGCUGCUCCACCUCAACUGUAAAUUACACUUCCUAGCUUUAGGCUGAGCUGUUUUUUGUCUCUUUCCUUCCCACUAGGAGUCUGGCUUCUUCUGGAUAAUUUAAUAACUUUUCCACUGGAAAUAGUUUAUCAGUUUCUUAAGCAUAGUUAUGUUUUAUUGGCCUUAUUGUCUAUAUCGCUAUUUAACAAGAAUGGUACAAUGCCUUCCCAGUGGAUUUUCUAUGUCUCCUUUGUGUACAGAGUUUUCAGCAGUUUAAGUGUUUUCUUGUUGGUUUUGGUUUGUUUGGACUGAUGGGUUUUAUCCUGCUGUUUGACUGGCAAAUUGUGAUGUCAUCUCCAUUGCAAUUCUCUAGUCUUAUCAUUGAUUUGGUUGUCAUCUCCUCCCAGGGCUUUGAUUAUUUUCUAAAUGUUAGUCUUGAAAUUCUUCCAGUCUCCUUGUUAAUUUUCUCACAUGAAUACCAAGUAUUUUUUUUUUUCCCAAGGGCUUACUGAAUUUUAAGAUCUCUAGCCAUGCGUACAUAUUUAUUACCUAAGCCCUAUGGUGUCAAAGCCAACUCGGUUGUGACAGGGUGAUAUCAGGAGACUCUCUGCUCUGCUGC